AACGAACGCUGGCGGCACGUUUUAAGCAUGCAAGUCGAAUGGCAGUGGGGGCAACCCCAUGAGAAUGGCGAACGGGUGAGUAACACGUAGGUGAUCUGCCUGACGGAUGGGGAUAGCUUGUGGAAACACAGGGUAAUACCGAAUGAGCUGACGAGACUUUGGUUUUGUUAGUAAAGGUGCUACGGCACCGCCGACAGAGGAGCCUGCGGCUGAUUAGCUAGUUGGUGGGGUAAAGGCCUACCAAGGCGACGAUCAGUAGCCGGCCUGAGAGGGUGUACGGCCACACUGGAACUGAGACACGGUCCAGACUCCUACGGGAGGCAGCAGCUAAGAAUCUUCCGCAAUGGGCGAAAGCCUGACGGAGCGAUGCCGCGUGAUCGAUGAAGGUCGAGAGAUUGUAAAGAUCUUUUCUACAUGAGGAAUAAGUCUGGGAGGGAAUGCCUGGAUGAUGACGUUAGUGUAGGAAUAAGCCCCGGCUAAUUACGUGCCAGCCGCCGCGGUAA
This 503-nucleotide ribosomal RNA is filed under the name uncultured bacterium. RNAcentral's name for it is "partial 16S ribosomal RNA". It matches the Rfam family "Bacterial small subunit ribosomal RNA", at positions 29 to 523 of the family's 1533-position model. The record is from RNAcentral.